RNAcentral lists this ribosomal RNA (460 nucleotides) under uncultured bacterium. Its description in RNAcentral is "partial 16S ribosomal RNA". It matches the Rfam family "Bacterial small subunit ribosomal RNA", at positions 338 to 795 of the family's 1533-position model. The record is from RNAcentral.
CCUACGGGAGGCAGCAGUGAGGAAUAUUGGUCAAUGGACGAGAGUCUGAACCAGCCAAGUAGCGUGAAGGAUGACUGCCCUAUGGGUUGUAAACUUCUUUUAUAUGGGAAUAAAAUGUUCCACGUGUGGGAUUUUGUAUGUACCAUAUGAAUAAGGAUCGGCUAACUCCGUGCCAGCAGCCGCGGUAAUACGGAGGAUCCGAGCGUUAUCCGGAUUUAUUGGGUUUAAAGGGAGCGUAGGUGGAUUGUUAAGUCAGUUGUGAAAGUUUGCGGCUCAACCGUAACAUUGCCGGUGAAACUGGCAGUCUUGAGUACAGUAGAGGUGGGCGGAAUUCGUGGUGUAGCGGUGAAAUGCUUAGAUAUCACGAAGAACUCCGAUUGCGAAGGCAGUUCACUGGACUGCAACUGACACUGAGGCUCGAAAGUGUGGGUAUCAAACAGGAUUAGAUACCCUAGUAGUC